This 496-nucleotide ribosomal RNA is filed under the name uncultured bacterium. Its description in RNAcentral is "partial 16S ribosomal RNA". The record is from RNAcentral.
ACUGACAGCCAUGGUUACCGCGGCUGCUGGCACGGAGUUAGCCGGUGCUUCUUCUGUGAGUGAUGUCCUUCCUGCCGGCUAUUAACCCGCAGGCCUUCUUCCUCACUGAAAGUGCUUUACAACCCGAAGGCCUUCUUCACACACGCGGCAUGGCUGGAUCAGGGUUGCCCCCAUUGUCCAAUAUUCCCCACUGCUGCCUCCCGUAGGAGUCUGGGCCGUGUCUCAGUCCCAGUGUGGCUGAUCAUCCUCUCAGACCAGCUACGGAUCGUCUCCUUGGUGAGCCGUUACCUCACCAACCAGCUAAUCCGACAUAGGCUCAUCCGAUAGCGCGAGGCCCGAAGGUCCCCCGCUUUCCCCCGUAGGGCGUAUGCGGUAUUAGCCUGGGUUUCCCCAGGUUAUCCCCCACUACCGGGCAGAUUCCUAUGCAUUACUCACCCGUCCGCCGCUCGCCACCAGGGAGCAAGCUCCCCGUGCUGCCGCUCGACUUGCAUGUGUU